ACAGCAGUCGCCGCGGGAAUACAGAGGGUGCGAGCGUUAAUCGGAUUUACUGGGCGUAAAGCGUGCGUAGGCGGCUUUUUAAGUCGGAUGUGAAAUCCCUGAGCUUAACUUAGGAAUUGCAUUCGAUACUGGGAAGCUAGAGUAUGGAAGAGGAUGGUAGAAUUCCAGGUGUAGCGGUGAAAUGCGUAGAGAUCUGGAGGAAUACCGAUGGCGAAGGCAGCCAUCUGGCCUAAUACUGACGCUGAGGUACGAAAGCAUGGGGAGCAAACAGGAUUAGAGACCCCAGUAGUCCCUGUCUCUUAUAC
This 305-nucleotide ribosomal RNA is filed under the name uncultured bacterium. RNAcentral describes it as "partial 16S ribosomal RNA". It matches the Rfam family "Bacterial small subunit ribosomal RNA", at positions 508 to 807 of the family's 1533-position model. The record is from RNAcentral.